This 8000-nucleotide long non-coding RNA is filed under the name Homo sapiens (human). RNAcentral describes it as "HSALNT0246276". Lineage: Eukaryota; Metazoa; Chordata; Mammalia; Primates; Hominidae. The record is from RNAcentral.
UCCUUGGGCCUCAAGGGCACCAGGGCCUGACCCCAGCUCCCAGCAUGAAUAGGGUUGGUUUAAACCAGUCGGCAUGGCCCACAGUGACUGGUUUAGGCAUGGGCCUGUCACCCACACUGGGCCAAUGAUAUGUAAGAUGUUUAUUGUAGCUUCCGGGAUGGAAACUUCUCUGCCAGCUUGUGGGUUGGGCAAGGACGACACUCCGGGCCCUACCGGCGGAAGCUCUGCUCCUGUCGUGCGUGGACCACGCAGCAAAUGGCCUUGGAGGCUGCUGGCAGCCAUCUUGUGACCAUGAGGCAAGUCAGCGCAGGCCGAAGCUGACGACGCGAAGACAAUGAGGAGAGGGAGAAAGAGCCGAUCUUUGAGUAAAGGAGGCUGGGCGUGGUGGCUCACGCCUGUAAUCCCAGCACUUUGGGAGGCCGAGGCAGGCGGAUCACCUGAGCUCAGGAGUUCAAGACCAGCCUGGCCAACAUGGUGAAACCCCGUCUCUAGUAAAAAUACAAAAAUUAGCCCGGCAUCAUGGAGUGUGCCUGUAGUCCCAGCUACUCAGGAGGCUGACGCGGGACCCUCGCCUGAACCUGGGAGGUAGAGGUUGCGGUGAGCCAAGAUCGCACCAUUGCAUUCCAGCCUGGGCACGAAGCGAGACUCCGUCAAAAAAAAAAAAAAAAAUUAAAGAAUAAAAUUUCUGCAGGCAUCUCAACAGCUACAGAAACAGCAUUUUGUGCAAUUCAAUACUGAUUUGCAGGGGCCAGGGGUCAUGGCUCAUGCCUGCAAUCCCAGCACUUUGGGAGACCAAGGCAGGUGGAUCCCUUGGGCUCAAGAGUUCAAGAUCAGCCUGGGCAAUGUAGCAAAACCCCAUCUAAAAAAAUAAGAAAAUAUUAGGCAAGCAUGGUGCAUAUGUGCACAGGGCGCACACCUGUGGUCCCAGCUACUGGGGGUCUGAGGUGGGAGGAUUGCUUGAGCCCAGGAGGUUGAGGCUACAGUGAGCCGUGAUGGUGGCCCUGGACUCCAGCCUGGGCAACAGAGUGCAACCCCGUCUCAAAAAAGAAAAAUACUCAUUUGCAACUUUUAUUUUUUUAAUUAAAAAAAAAUUUAAUUUAUUUAUAUUUUUGGGGACAGAGUCUCGCUAUGUCACCCAGGCUGCAGUGCGAUGGCAUGAUCUCAGCUCACUGCAACCUCCACCUUCUGAGUUCAAGUGAUUCUCCUGCCUCAGCCUCCUGAAUAGCUGGAAUUACAGGUGACCGCCACCAUGCCUGGCUAAUUUUUGUAUUUUUAGUAGAGACGGGGAUUCACCAUGUUGGCCAGGCUGGUCUCGAACUCCUGACCUCGUGAUCCACCCAUCUCAACCUCCCAAAGUGCUGGGGUUACAGGAGUGAGCCACCGUGCCUGGCCUCAUUUGCAAUUUUUAAAAAUUGCUUUGCAAUGCCGGGCGCGGUGGCUUACGCCUGUAAUCUCAGCACUUUGGGAGGCCGAGGUGGGCACAUCAUGAGGUCAGAUCGAGACGAUCCCGGCUAACACGGUGAAACCCCAUCUCUACUAAAAAUACAAAAAAAAAAAUAGCUGGGCAUGGCGGCGUGUGCCUAUUAUCCCAGCUGCUGGGGAGGCUGAAGCAGGAGAAUGGCGUGAACCCGGGAGGCGGAGCUUGCAGUAAGCUGAGAUCGCGCCACCGCACCCCAGCCUGGGUGACAGAGCAAGACUCCAUCUCAAAAAAAAAAAAAAUUGCUUUGCAACCUAGUAGUAGAAGAACAAUUCCUUGAUCUGAUAAAGAGCAUUCCCUUAACAAGAUAUAGCAAAAUUUAAAACCCGUGAAUUAUAGAAAAGAUACACAUUUGAUUAUAUAAUAUUUUUAAAAAUAUGCAUGGCACAAGACUCUAUAAACAAAUAUACACAAUGGAAGCCAUGGUGGGAGGUAUCGGCCAGGGCCACGUCUGAGUCCUUGGCAGAGCUGGGUCACGCAGUGAAGAGCUGGGAGGGGCCUGGACAGGGCAGCAGUGGGUCAGGUUUGGGCUUAAAGAAGACGUCCCAGCUGGUGGUUCUUCAAACAAUUAAACAUACAGUGGCCGUGCAACCCAGCAAUGCCACUCCUAGGUGAGGACCCAAGAUAAAUGAAGACGUCCGGCCAGGCGCAUUGGCUCACACCUGUAAUCCCAGCACUUUGGGAGCCUUAGACAGAUGGAUCACUUUCAGCUCAGGAAUUAAAGACCAGCCUGGGCAACACAGGGAGACCCUGUCUCGUUAAAAAAUACAAAAAUUGCCAGGCGUGGUGGCUCAUGCCUGUAAUCCCAGCACUUUGGGAGGCCGAGGCAGGCGGAUCACCUGAGGUCAGUAGUUUGAGACCAGCCUGAUGAACAUGGUGAAACCCCGUCUCUACUAGAAAUAGAAAAAUUAGCUGGACGUGGUGACUAACACCUGUAAUCCCAGCUACUCAGGAGGCUGAGGCAGAAGCGCUUGAACCUGGGAAGCGGAGGUUGCAGUGAGCCGAGAUCACGCCAUUGCACUCCAGCCUGGGCAACAAGAUGAAACUCCAUCUCAAAAAAAAAAAAAAAAAUUAGCUGGGCAUCGUUGUCUUGUGCCUGCGGUGCCAGCUAUUCUGGAGGCUGAGAUUGGAGAAUCAUUUGUGCCCAGUGAAGCAGAGGUGGCAGUGAGCCAAGAUCAUGCCACUGCGCUCCAGCUUGGGUGACAGAGUGAGACUCUGUCUCAAAAAAAAAAAGAGUCUACAUAAAACAUUGUGCGCGCCUGUGCAUAGCAGCACAUCCAUAAUCACAGAGAGGCGGAAACAGCUGUGUCCAUCAACAGAGGUUGGUCACACAGGGGGUCCUGUGCCCAAUGCAGUGGACUCUUGGGCCUUAGAAUGAAGUUCUGAUCCACACGGCAGCACCGACGGACCUUGGGCACUGUGCUGUGUGAAAUAAGCAGACAGAUGCUGUGUGGCAGCACUUACAGGGGCAUCCUGAGCGACUUUGUGGAGACAGCUCUUAGGGCUGGGGAGGGAGGGAUGCGGGAAGGGGGCGGGAGCUGGAGGGUGGAGGGCUCUUUCUGAGAUGAGGAAAUGAUCUAAAACUGCCUGCGGUGACGGCUGCACAGCUCUGAAGAUGCAGAAACUCGCUGAGCUGGACGCAUUCUGAAUUGUGUGGUAUGUGAAUUAUGUCUCAGUAAAGCCAUUAAAAAAAAACACCCAGGAGCCAGGCGCAGUGGCUCAUGCCUAUAAUCCCAGCACUUUGGGAGGCGGAGGCAGGCGGAUCAUCUGAGGUCAGGAGUUGGAGACCAGCCUGACCAACAUGGUGUAACCUCGUCUCUGCUAAAAUACAAAAAUUAGCUGGGUGUUGUGGCGGGCACCUUUAAUCCUGGCUACUUGGGAGGCUGAGGCAGGAGAAUUGCUUGAACCUGGGAACGGGAGGUUGCAGUGAGCCAAGAUCGCGCCAUUGCACUCCAGCCUGGGCGACAGAGCGAGACUCCGUCUCAAAAAAACAAAACAAAACAAAACAGCCAGGCAACCAAGUAGACAAUGGAGGGAGGGGGUGACAGCUGAGGACGCCCAUUGUCUGCUGGUGCUCCAGGCGGUGCUCCCCACUCCCAGCCCAGUCGCCCCCUGCUCCUGGCCUGGAUUUGAGGCCUAGAGAGACACCUGCCCUCCCCCGGAUCCGUGCCCCGCAGAAGUGCAGUCUUGGUGCCCAAAUGUGCGCCCGCUGGGGCAGAGGAGAAUCCGCGGGGCCUGAAGCAGAAUCGCGCCCUCCCCCCAACCUGCCGGCUGCCCGGGCGCUCCCCAUGGGCCCAGACGCAGGAGACAAAGGAGAACAUGGGGGUUCAGGUAUGCACUGGGGCGCAGACAGGGCCAGGCAAGACAAGAGGGCAGGGCUGCCGGGAAGGACGAGUGCCUCGGGAGCCUCUCUGCAGGUGAGACACAGGUUGAAGCAUUGACUGAUUUGUUCUCUCGCAGUGAGGCAGGAGAGGAGGGAAUAAUUGGGGUGACCCAGGGUUGAGGCGUGAGCAAGAGAACAGCAAAGGCAGCUGGUUCUGGGUAACACUGGGCCUCACUCCUAUGGUAACAAGACAGUUUCCACUUCAGCCUCUGAUUGGCUGUGAGCCAGUCCUUCAUAAGGAGUCACCAGUUGGAGGCCUCUAAAGGGCACCUGGGGUGUUACCAAAUUCUCCUGGCUUCCUAAAAACCCUGGGGAGCACUGCCAUAGAGGCUCUGGGGCCGCCUGCUCCGCCCGCUGCCUCUCUGUGAAUUGCACCUUGUGGUCUUCAAUGAAUCUGUGCUUUCGUCACUCCGUUUUUUGCUUGUCUUGUCUUUCGUUACUUCAUUCUUUUGUUGCUUUCUUUGUGCGUGUUCAAUUCUUUGUUCUGCACACAAGAACCUAAACAACUCACAGUCGAGACCUUCCAACCAGUAACACCAGCGGCCCCUCCCCUGGGAAGCCUCCAGAGGACGGGAGGCUGCCUGUAAAAGCUGAAGAGUCCUGAGUCUUCUGCGUGAUUCCAGAGACUCCUGGGAUGCCCUGGGGUGGGGGGCAGGGGAACGCUGGGGCACGGGUGGACCCAGGAAAGAGACGUGUAGAGCGCCUUGCCCCACCACCCUCCUCCCAGGCCAUGUCAUCUGCCACCCAGGCCAGGGCUACACCUCACCUGCCACUCAGGCCAUACCAUACCCUCACCUGUUGCCCAGGCCACACCCACAUCCUCACCUGUUGCCCCUCCUCCUUGCGGCCCAGGAGGUCUCUGAAGAUGCAGGCUCUACCUUCUGCCCGGCCCCCAGCCCUCCACCCGAGAAGUGGAUGUGAAGUCACUCUGUGCAUCUCCGCCCCUUUCCCACCCAUUGGCCCUUGCCCUGCUCAGGGUCCCACGCUCUUCCCUCCUCCUGCCCCUCGUGGCCCCUCCUGUCUGCCCUGGCCCCCCCACACAUCCAGGGGGCAGUUUGCUUCCUCCACUGACCUCCCCUCUCUGUGACAUUAUCUGUUUUUACAAACUUCAGGCAUCUAAGCCGGGCACAUUGGCCCAAGCCUGUAAUCCCAGCACUUUGGGAGGCCGAGGCAGGCGGAUCACUUAAGCUCAGGAGUUCGAAACCAGCCUGGCCAAGAUGGUGAAACCCCAUCUCUACUAAAAAUACAAAAGAUUAGCCGGCUGUGAUGACGCGCACCUGUAAUCUCAGCUACUCGGGAGGCUGAGGCACGAGAAUCGCUUGCACCCAGGAGGUGGAGGCUGCAGUGAGCCGAGAUCACGCCAGGGCACUCCGGCCUGGGCGACAGAGUGAGACUUCGUCUCAAGAAAAACCAAAAAUCCAAAAGAACUACAGGCAUCGGCUGUGUCCCCACUAGGAAGCCGGAGGGGAGCAGGGCUGGGUGUGUCUUCUCUGGCUGCGUCCCUGCGGCCACAAGGCCUGUUCUUCCUCUGUGCCCCGCCUGCCAAGGACCCAGCCUUGUGAAGGAUGGAUGAAUGAAUCAUUGAGCAAAUGAAUGAGUGUGUGAACAGGGAGAGUCUGCAGCAGGGAGACCCCGGCAGCUUCGAGUAUGGAGGGGAGACUCUGGCCGCCUGAGAGCUGGCUGCCAGGUGCUGAGCCGCCCCAAGAAAAAGCCCUCGUGGCAAGAAACUGAGGCCUCCAGCCAGCAGUCAGGGACCCGAGGCCUGAGACGGUGGAGGGUGAGCUUGCAAAGGGACCCCACAGUCGGGCCUUGAGAGGCCCACGGGCCUGGCCCACACCUCGGCUGCAGCCUUGUGAAGGUCCCUGAGCAGGGGACCCAGACUUCUGUCCUACAGAAACUUGGAGAUAAUAAAUGCCUGCUCUUCUACGGCACUGAGUGUCGGGUGAUUUGUUACGGGCAGUAGACAGCUAAUACCUGCCCCUUAGGACACCAAGUCCUCGCCUCCUGGAGGCCCAAGCCCCAGGGAGCCAUGCCUGACUUGCCGCCUGUCGAUGGGCCACGCGUUCCUUGUUGAUGCCAUUCUGGGGUCCCCUCACCCUGACAUACUAGGAGCCAGUUCCGAGGGAGGCUCUUCUGCCACCAACCCUGGCCCAGGGGGACACUGAGCUCCUUGAUGCUGAGGGCCGGUGGUUCCUUAUCGCCUGGCGACCAGCGUGUCCUCCGGGUCCUUUUCCAAUACCAGCACCUCCCAGCUCAAAAACACAACCCAGCACUCCUGUUCCUCCGUCUCCCGGCCCUCCCUCGACACUGGGCCGAGGCAGCCUGUGCACCUGCCCCAAGCUCCCAGGAGCUGACCCAGCAGCGGAUUCGGCCUGGUUCCCGGCAUCCUUACCGGGAUUUGGAAAAUGCUCCUUUCAAUCAAUAAAGGCCCCACGCGGGCCUUCUUCCGCCCUCCCCUCCAGCAUCCUCCAUCUCCAUUUCCACCCGUCCUCCCCGUCCUGCCAGGCCGCAGCUCCUUGCAGAAUAACCCACACCCUCCAGUCGCAGGGACAGAACACCCUAGUUACUGGCCUAGAAUUUUGCGGGGGACGAGGACAGGCAGACCCUAAGGAGGACACUCGCCUCAGGUGAGACCUUUGCAAGGUCCCGGCAGUGGGAGCCACUCCCGCCACUGCGGAGGGAACAGAGGGCAGGGAUCUAAGAGGCUUCUACCCAAAUACCGCAUCCAGGUCAUAGCGUCCCACCCCCCGCUGCCACCGGGGCCCUGACUUCAACACGGGAGGCAGACCAGACGCCACCGCCCUGGGAUCAGAGCUUGGGCCCGAGGGUUGGCCCCGUCUGCACUCUGGCUUUCGGAAUGAGGCUCGCUGUCAAUGCUGUGGUGGAGCUGCAUUCGUUUCCGGGGCUUCUAUAACAAGGUGCCAUAGAACAGGGCUCCAACAGCAGCCCAUUCUCCCACUGUCCUGGAGGCUGGAAGUUCGAGACCAAGGUGCCUGCAGAGUUGGUUCCUCCUGAGGCCUUUCUCCCUGGCUUGUAGAUGGCCCUCUUCUCCUGACUCCUCACACAGAGUCAUCCCUCUGUGUGUAUCUGUGUCCUAGUCUCUCUUCUUUUUCUUUUCGCUUCUUCUUUUUUUUUUUUUGAAGACAGGGUCUCUCUCUCUCUGUCACCCAGGCUGGAGUGCAGUGGUGUUAUCAUAGCUCACUGCAGCCUAGACCUCCCAGGCUCAGGUGAUGCUCCUACCUCAGCCUCCCAAGUAGCUGGGACCACAGACAUGUGUCACCACACCCGACUAAUUUUUUAUAUUUUGUUGUAGAGAUGGGGUCUCACUAUGUUGCCCAGGCUCAACUGGCUUUAAGCCAUCCUCCCACCUCGACCUUCCAAAGUGUUGGGAUUACAGGUGUGAGCCACUGAGCCUGGCCCUUAUCUCUUUUUCUCAGGACACGACUCAGGCCGGGCGUGGUGGCUCAUGCCUAUAAUCCCAGCACAUUGGGAGGCCAAGACGGGCGGAUCACCUGAGGUCAGGAGUUCCAGACCAGCCUGGUCAGCAUGGUGAAACCCCGUCUCUACUAAAAAUAUAAAAAUUAGCCAGGUGUGGUGGCCAGCGCCUGUAAUCCCAGCUACUCGGGAGGCUGAGGCAGGAGAAUCGCUUGAACCCAGGAGGCGGAGGUUGCAGUGAGCCAAGAUCGCACCAUUGCACUCUAGCCUGGGUGACAGAGUGGGACUCCGUCUCAAAAAAUAAAAAAAGUGGGGGAUGGGGGUGGGGGUGGGGGUGGGCCAGGCGCGGUGGCUCACGCCUGUAAUCCCAUCACUUUGGGAGGCCGAGACGGGUGGAUCACCUGAGGUCAGAAGUUCGAGACCAGCCUGACCAACAUGGGGAAACUUCAUCUCUACUAAAAAAUACAAAAAUUAGCCGGGUGUGGUGGUGGGUGCCUGUAAUCCCAGGUGCUCAGGAGGCGAAGCAGAAGAAUCACUUGAACCCAAGAGGUGGAGGUUGCAGUGAGCCAAGCUCGUGACACUGCACUCCAGACUGGGUGACAGAGCAAGACUUCAUUUCAAAGGAAAAAAAAAACAAGGCCAGCGGUCAUGUGGGAACAGGACUCGCUGUAAUCCCCUCUUUAAAGGCCAUAUCUGUAAAUACAG